UUUGGGCCUUCCCCCUGGGUGGUAAUGGGCAAAAAAGUGCUUGGGAUUAGAAGCAGAACCUGCCUUCCCUUGGAUUCCUGAAUUCUGGGAGGCCACACCUAGAAGGAACCAGCUGUGCCCCAGACUCACAGUUUCCUUGCAACGUUCAGGGAAAAUGGAUAACAGAGAAAAUAUGGGGUCUUCCCAGAGGCUAGCCUGGGCACUACAUCAGUACUAGCUAAGGGAAUCAAGGAUUUGUGAGGAUUACACACCAGCUGCUUCCAUAUGCAAACAGAUUAAGUAACCAACCAACCACUGCAUUAGGAACUUCAAGAGAAAGAAAGAAAUAUAGAGAAUCAGUAGCACAACACAAUAGACAGGGCUGCAAGAGUUCAGCAGUGAGUACCAAAUAGGUCCUACAGUCUGUAACUUAUUGCUGCAGUUUCAGAGAAUGCAGAAAACUCUAAGGGAUGUGGGGAUCAGAGAAAGGAAAUACACUGGAAUUUGUAGUGUAGAACUGAGAUCAUUGGAAAGGGUUGUUAGUGCCAUGAGGAUUUUGCUUUUAUAUCAUUUUAGAAUGUGUCUAAAUGUUUCCAGUUUGCCAAAUAGGAAGAUGUAUAAGCCUUUGAUUUAAAAUGAAGAACCUUUAAGUAGAAAAAUGCAUAAAUCUGUGAUUAGGAGGAAUUGACAUGAGUUUUUCUGGAUGUGUUUCCAACUUUUAAUUGUCAAACUGGAGCAGAGGGGAGUCAUUCCUCUUUUCUUGGUGUUAUAUUUGAUAGCUCAAAGGAAGACACACAAAAACCUCAACAGAUUAGAGUCUAGAGAGUUCAUUAUUUCCCUGAAACAUAACUCCCGAGUAUUUUUCCCAUCACAUAGGAGGAAGACUUCCCAGCAGACCACACAGCAUGCUUCGCAGGGUGCUAGGAACCUGCUUAGUCAAGAGUGGGUACGACUACCGUUAACUCACAGCUCAGGGUGGCAGACCUUUUUCAUUCCUUAAGGUUCUGGUGUCUGGCGAGUACUACUGGAUGGAGGGAAGGGCGAGGAGGGAGGGAAAGUCACUGAUCCUGUCCUGCGAGGGUUGGAGAGUAAUAUGUCUAUGCAGCCUGUUCUUUGAAUAUUUGGCUAGGUCUAGAUUAGACUAGCAAAUGGACAAUCUGUGCAAAGGCCAGCAUAUGUAGAGGAGAGAGAACCUGGUCCUCAAACAGACUCAUUCAGUCAAUAAGACAGAAAUAAUUGCCUAGAAAAUAAAAUGAGACUUCACCUAUAUGACUAAAUCCCUUGUUUCUUGCCCUCCAAACUGUUUCCUAGGCCAACACGUGCCACUCAUCCCUCCUUGUCUCUUGCCACCUCCUCAGAAGCAAUCUAAACUGAGUUUGUUUAACCUUUCACAGCUCUUUCCAGGUGCUUAUCCUCCCAAACGCUGGGACUACAGGCAUGGACCACCACACCUAGUUGGAUAUUCUUGGCUAUACUUCCUUGUACAUGUGUGCAGAUGUUUUUGGCUUUUAUAGAUAAGCUAAAUUGUGCUCAAAUUGAUUGCACCAAUGUACACUCCCACUUGUGCGACAUGAAGAUAUCUGUUGUCCAACUUGUGGCUAAUACUUUUAAUCUGAUCAUUGAAAAUGACAUAUCAAUGUAGAACUAUUUAUAUUUCCUUGACAACUGGUGAAAAUUAACAUUUUACAAGUUUUUAUCAAAAAUGUUAAUUUUCUUUGUUGUUUUCAUGUUAAUUGCUCAUUUUCUAUUUAGGUGAUUUUUUUCCUCACUAUUAGUCCAAACACUCAUUUGGUUGUAUUUAAUUAAAUGAUAUUACUUUGUUUCCUAUUUACACACAUUCCUCAUUAAACAGCCACUAAAGUAUGAUCCUGCAA
Heterocephalus glaber (naked mole-rat) is the source of this 1853-nucleotide non-coding RNA. The record is from RefSeq and is a predicted model, not a curated record. Lineage: Eukaryota; Metazoa; Chordata; Mammalia; Rodentia; Bathyergidae.